RNAcentral lists this long non-coding RNA (1226 nucleotides) under Salmo salar (Atlantic salmon). Its description in RNAcentral is "lncRNA (ENSSSAG00000114721.1)". Lineage: Eukaryota; Metazoa; Chordata; Actinopteri; Salmoniformes; Salmonidae. The record is from RNAcentral.
CAGUAGGUAGCAGCAGUAUGGAGAUACAGUAGGUAGCAGCAGUAUGGAGAUACAGUAGGUAGCAGCGGUAUGGAGAUACAGUAGGUAGCAGCAGUAUGGAGAUACAGUAGGUAGCAGCAGUAUGGCGAUACAGUAGGUAGCAGCAGUAUGGCGAUACAGUAGGUAGCAGCGGUAUGGAGAUACAGUAGGUAGCAGCGGUAUGGAGAUACAGUAGGUAGCAGAAGUAGGUAGCAGCGGUAGGGUAGAAGCGGUAGGUAGCAGCAGCAGUAGGUAGCAGCAGUAGGGUAGAAGCAGUAGUAGAUGGCAGCGGUAGUUAGCAGUAGUAGGUAGCAGCGGUAGGUAGCAGCAGCAGGUAGCAGCAGUAUGGAGGUAGGUAGCAGUGGUAGGGUAGCAGUAGGUAGCAGCAGCAGUAAGUAGCAGCGGUAGUUAGCAGCGGUAGGUAGCAGCAGUAGGUAGCAGCAGUAGGUUGCAGCAGUAGGGUAGAAGCAGUAGUAGUUAGCAGCGGUAGUUAGCAGUAGUAGGGAGCAGCAGCAGUAGGUAGCAGCAGUAGUAGGUAGCAGCAAUAGUAGUUAGCAGCAGUAGGGUAGAAGCAGUAGUAGUUAGCAGCAGUAGGUAGCAGCAGUAGGUAGCAGCGGCAGGUAGCAGCGGUAGAGUAGCAGCGGUAGGGUAGCAGCGGCAGGUAGCAGCAGUAGAGUAGCAGUGGCAGGUAGCAGCGGCAGGUAGCAGCGGUAGAGUAGCAGCGGAAGGGAAGCAGCGGUAGGUAGCAGCGGUAGAGUAGCAGCGGUAGGGUAGCAGCGGUAGGUAGCAGCGGUAGGGUAGGAGCGGCAGGUAGCACCGGCCGGUAGAAGCGGUAGGGUAGCAGCGGUAGAGUAGAAGCGGUAGGGUAGAAGCGGUAGGGUAGAAGCGGUAGGUAGCAGCAGUAGUAGUUAGCAGCGGUAGGUAGCAGCGGCAGGUAGCAGCAGUAGAGUAGCAGCGGCAGGUAGAAGCUGCAGGUAGCAGCAGUAGAGUAGCAGCGGAAGGGAAGCAGCGGUAGGGUAGCAGCGGCAGGUAGCAGCGGUAGGGUAGAAGCGGCAGGUAGAAGCGGCGGGUAGCAGUGGUAGGGUAGCAGUGGUAGAGUAGCAGUGGUAGGGUAGCAGUGGUAGGGUAGAAACGGCAGGUAGAAGCGGUAGGGUAGGAGCAGCGGUAGGUAGAAGCGGUUGGUAGCAAUGGUAGGGUAGCAGCAGCGG